This 253-nucleotide ribosomal RNA is filed under the name uncultured bacterium. RNAcentral describes it as "partial 16S ribosomal RNA". It matches the Rfam family "Bacterial small subunit ribosomal RNA", at positions 524 to 776 of the family's 1533-position model. The record is from RNAcentral.
UACGUAGGGGGCAAGCGUUGUCCGGAAUCAUUGGGCGUAAAGCGCGCGCAGGCGGUCCCUUAAGUCUGAUGUGAAAGCCCACGGCUCAACCGUGGAGGGUCAUUGGAAACUGGGGGACUUGAGUACAGAAGAGGAAAGCGGAAUUCCACGUGUAGCGGUGAAAUGCGUAGAGAUGUGGAGGAACACCAGUGGCGAAGGCGGCUUUCUGGUCUGUAACUGACGCUGAGGCGCGAAAGCGUGGGGAGCAAACAGG